RNAcentral lists this ribosomal RNA (721 nucleotides) under uncultured Nitrososphaerota archaeon. Its description in RNAcentral is "bacterial SSU rRNA". It matches the Rfam family "Archaeal small subunit ribosomal RNA", at positions 8 to 737 of the family's 1478-position model. The record is from RNAcentral. Lineage: Archaea; Thermoproteati; Nitrososphaerota.
UUGAUCCUGCCGGACCCGACUGCUAUCAGAGUGGGACUAAGCCAUGCGAGUCAACGCAGCAAUGCGUGGCACACGGCUCAGUAACACGUAGUCAACAUGCCCAGGGGACGUGGAUAACCUCGGGAAACUGAGGAUAUACCGCGAUAGGCCAAGGUUUCUGGAAUGGACACUGGCUGAAACCUAUAUGGCCCCUGGAUUGGACUGCGGCCGAUCAGGCUGUUGGUGAGGUAAUGGCCCACCAAACCUGUAACCGGUACGGGCUUUGAGAGAAGGAGCCCGGAGAUGGGCACUGAGACAAGGGCCCAGGCCCUAUGGGGCGCAGCAGGCGCGAAAAUUCUGCAAUAGGCGAAAGCUUGACAGAGUUACUCUGAGUGAUGCCCGCUAAGGGCAUCUUUUGGCACCUCUAAAAAUGGUGCAGAAUAAGGGGUGGGCAAGUCUGGUGUCAGCCGCCGCGGUAAUACCAGCACCCCGAGUGGUCGGGACGAUUAUUGGGCCUAAAGCAUCCGUAGCCGGUCCUGCAAGUCCUCCGUUAAAUCCACCCGCUCAACGGUUGGGCCGCGGGGGAUACUACAGGGCUAGGAGGCGGGAGAGGCAAGCGGUACUCGAUGGGUAGGGGUAAAAUCCACUGAUCCAUUGAAGACCACCAGUGGCGAAGGCGGCUUGCCAGAACGCGCUCGACGGUGAGGGAUGAAAGCUGGGGGAGCAAACCGGAUUAGAUACC